This 550-nucleotide ribosomal RNA is filed under the name uncultured bacterium 122. Its description in RNAcentral is "bacterial SSU rRNA". It matches the Rfam family "Bacterial small subunit ribosomal RNA", at positions 367 to 908 of the family's 1533-position model. The record is from RNAcentral.
GACAAUGGGCGCAAGCCUGAUCCAGCCAUACCGCGUGGGUGAAGAAGGCCUUCGGGUUGUAAAGCCCUUUUGUUGGGAAAGAAAUCCAGCCGGCUAAUACCUGGUUGGGAUGACGGUACCCAAAGAAUAAGCACCGGCUAACUUCGUGCCAGCAGCCGCGGUAAUACGAAGGGUGCAAGCGUUACUCGGAAUUACUGGGCGUAAAGCGUGCGUAGGUGGUCGUUUAAGUCCGUUGUGAAAGCCCUGGGCUCAACCUGGGAACUGCAGUGGAUACUGGGCGACUAGAGUGUGGUAGAGGGUAGCGGAAUUCCUGGUGUAGCAGUGAAAUGCGUAGAGAUCAGGAGGAACAUCCAUGGCGAARGCAGCUACCUGGACCAACACUGACACUGAGGCACGAAAGCGUGGGGAGCAAACAGGAUUAGAUACCCUGGUAGUCCACGCCCUAAACGAUGCGAACUGGAUGUUGGGUGCAAUUUGGCACGCAGUAUCGAAGCUAACGCGUUAAGUUCGCCGCCUGGGGAGUACGGUCGCAAGACUGAAACUCAAAUGA